UACAGAGGGUGCAAACGUUGUUCGGAAUUACUGGGCGUAAAGCGCGUGUAGGCGGCAGGGUAUGUCGGAUGUGAAAUCCCGUGGCUCAACCACGGAAGUGCACCCGAAACUACCCAGCUGGAGUCUCGGAGAGGAAGGCGGAAUGCUUGGUGUAGAGGUGAAAUUCGUAGAUAUCAAGCGGAACACCGGUGGCGAAGGCGGCCUUCUGGACGAUGACUGACGCUGAGACGCGAAAGCGUGGGGAGCAAACAGG
Molecule: ribosomal RNA, 253 nt
Filed under: uncultured bacterium
Lineage: Bacteria
Description: partial 16S ribosomal RNA
Rfam family: Bacterial small subunit ribosomal RNA
Source: RNAcentral